RNAcentral lists this long non-coding RNA (396 nucleotides) under Cebus imitator (Panamanian white-faced capuchin). Its description in RNAcentral is "lncRNA (ENSCCAG00000038231.1)". Lineage: Eukaryota; Metazoa; Chordata; Mammalia; Primates; Cebidae. The record is from RNAcentral.
UUGCUACUUUGCUGAGUGUGUUUUGUCUAAUUCAUGGCACUCCAGAACUGUGUCUGUUUUUCCUCACAUUCUCUUUCUUGUCUGCCACAGCAAUAUUCUCAGCAAACCAUCCGACGGCAACUCCUGUGAUCACAAAAGUCAAGCACUGAUGGAAAUGAAGACCACGACCCCGAUUCCUCAGGUGCCGGAUUGAUGGGACUGCAAAUGUGUAAAGUCUUGCACAGGAAACCCCCCAGCACAGCCAUUCAGAGGCUCUCAACUCCUGCUGGACCCAAACACAAGAAACCAGGAGGCGCAGACCCCAUCUCUCAUUUUGCACCUCGGGAAACGAUUUUGCAUCCAGCUGUACUCCAGAUGUUUAUAUAGAAACUUCACAGCAGACAUGAUGGUGGCGCA